CCUCACUCACACAUGGAAUAUGACUCAAUUCAGUUAGGGUCAUCAGAUACUCUGCUCUAAGUAUUUGAACCAUUCAGGAACACAAAAUUCAAGGCCUUAUUGAGUCAACUAAAGAGCCUAAGUCACACUAAAGCUGUCUUUAUUCAAGGUACCAUAGAGUUAAGGGUCCCUAUUUCCAUUUUUGUCUCUAGCCCAAGACUUCCUAAACUAAAAAGAAAAAAAACCAACUACACCCAGUUUAAAUGGAAAACCUUGGAAAAGAACCGUG
RNAcentral lists this long non-coding RNA (268 nucleotides) under Nicotiana benthamiana. RNAcentral's name for it is "long non-coding RNA (NBEN_LNC011075)". Lineage: Eukaryota; Viridiplantae; Streptophyta; Magnoliopsida; Solanales; Solanaceae. The record is from RNAcentral.